CUAGCCUACCUCCUCCCAGAGUUUCCUGAAACAAUUCCUAGGACAAUACCAGCCCCAGUACCAGAGCCUAGGCAAAUGGAUUCCACUCAGGUCUCUCAUGAGGAACGCUCUGGCCGACUUGCGGCAGGACUCUGCCUCUAUUGUGCUGCUACUGAUCACUACAUUGGGGCCUGUCCUAUGAAACCCCCAUGUCCUGCAGUGAGUACCAUUCAGCUAAACCCAGAAAUGUUCAUGCUUUCAGUGAUUUCAGUGCAACUGGUCACCCCAGCAUGUUCUCUUACAGUCUCAGCUUUGGUCGACUCGGGCUCCUCGGGCAACUUCAUCUUGCAAGGCCUUCUAAGUCGUUUUCAGCUGCCUUGUUGCCAUCAUGCCCAGGAGCUCCAAACUGAUGACUAUCCUAAAAAUGCCACUAGGAUAUGGGCAUGUGAGAUAUAAGGCCCCUUACUUGAAACUCAAUAUUGGUAACUUCUAUGAGGAGGAAAUCACCUUUCUGGUACUGGAGGGACCCACGGUGGACAUCAACCUGGGAUGCACCUGGCUCAUCCUCCAUUCUCCAGAGAUCAGAUGGGACUCCUGUGAGGUUAAUUGCUAGAGCGAAUUCUGUCACUAACACUGCCUCACUAAACUUCUACGUCCACUCCACAAGCCCCCAGCUUCCCAGGUCACUUCCGUGCAUAUUGAAAUUCCUGAGCCAAGUAUAACUCCCUCAAUCCCAUCUGAUUAUGUGGCAUUCCAGGAUGUCUUUAGUAAGCAGGCAGCCUGAGUUUACCAGCUGUCCAUCCUGGAGUGCAAAGCUAUAGAGGUGUACAUUAAGGAUGCUCUUAACCAGUGAAUCAUCCAGCCGUCCAGCUAACCAGCGGCCUCAAGUUUCUUCUUCAUGGGUAAGAUGGACGGGGGCUUGUGGCCCUGUAUUGAUUAUGGAGCUUUGAAUUCCCAGAUGUUCAAACUCCCUUAACCACUUCCCCUGGUCCCUGUGGCUAUUGAGGAACUCUGUGGGGCCCGUAUCUUCUCUAAGCUGGACCUGCGAAGCGCAUAUAACCUUGUUUGCAUCCGGGAAGGCAAUGAAUGAAAGAUGGCCUUCAUUACCCCUUUGGGACACUAUGAGUACCUCAUUAUGCCGUAUGGCCCUGCCAAUGCCCCAUCAAUCUUCCAGGGGUUUACGAACAAGGCAUUCUGAGAGUUGCUCCACAAGUUCGUGAUCAUUUCCAUCAAUGACUUACACAUUUACUCCUGGAACCUGACUGACCAUUGCCACCACAUUAAGCAGGUCCUUCAGAGGGUACGUCAGCACCACCUGUACCUCAAGCUGGAGAAGUGCGAGUUCCACUGCUCCAUGGUGCAGUUCUUAGGCUACAUCAUCGGCCAGGAGAAAAUUCAGAUUGACCAGGGGAAGGUGACUGCCAUCACGUAGUGGCCCAUUCCCCAGUCUGUAAAUGGGGUUCAGAGGUACCUUGGAUUUGCUAAUUUCUAUAGGCAUUCAUCAAAGAUCUCAGUCUGCAUAGAGCCCCAUUGACCACCCUGCUCCGAGGAAAGCCCAAGUCCCUGUCCUGGAACUCCAGCACCCACAAAGCCUUUCAGAAUCUCAAGAACGCAUUUCGCAUGGCUCCCAUUCUUCAUCAUCCUGAUCCCCAUGUGCUGUUUGUGGUGGAAGUGGAUGCCUCCACCACAGGAGUUGGAGCUGUGCUUUCUCAGCAAAUUAGUGAGUCUCCACGCCUCCACCAUUGCUCAUACUGUUUACUAUUCCAAGAAACUGACCCCAGCGGAGUAGAACUACGAUAUCUGUAACAGGGAGCCGCUGGCCAUAAAACUGGCCCUAGAAGAGUGGCAGCAUUUGCUAGAGGGAAACAACCAUCAUUUCACUGUCAUCAGUGACCAUACAAACUCCAAUUUCUCUGUGAUGCCAAGAGACUCAAUCACUGGCAGGCCUGCUGGGCUCUAUUUUUCACCCAGCUUAAUUUCAUCAUCGACUACCACCCAGGAAACAGAAAUUGUAAAGCCGAUGCCCAAGCUCGUACUCCUACCCAUUCCUUGUCAGCCCUGAUCACACAUGGAAGUUGAUUUUGUAACCAACCUACCUGAAUCCAAUGGUAACAAAUGCAUCCUACUGGCAAUGGGUAAUUUCUCAAAAGCCUGCAAGUUAAUUAACCUACCUGGGUUACCAACAGCCCUGGAAACCACAGAACAACUGUUCACCCACGUCUUCAGGAACUUUGAAAACUUUGGACCAGUGUACCAUGACCCAGUGAAUUGUCUCUCAAUAUUCCAGAUUAUCACCUGCCAUUUGCUCCUAACAAUCCAAAUCCAAGUCUUUCAAUAAAUCACCUUGUUACUCCUCUG
Long non-coding RNA from Carassius auratus (goldfish), 2337 nucleotides. RefSeq lists it as uncharacterized. Lineage: Eukaryota; Metazoa; Chordata; Actinopteri; Cypriniformes; Cyprinidae. The transcript is spliced from 2 exons. The record is from RefSeq and is a predicted model, not a curated record.